GUGGCCUGCGUCCAAGGUCAGCGUGACUUCGAUUUGGCCGACGCCCUCGAUGACCCCGAACCCACAAAGAAGCCAAGCUCGGAAAUACCACUCCUAGGUGUAGACGGCAAGAGCUGAACACAGGGCAUCCAGCAAACGUGGACUGC
This is a long non-coding RNA of Hyaena hyaena (striped hyena), 146 nucleotides long. RefSeq lists it as uncharacterized. The transcript is spliced from 4 exons. The record is from RefSeq and is a predicted model, not a curated record. Lineage: Eukaryota; Metazoa; Chordata; Mammalia; Carnivora; Hyaenidae.